This 506-nucleotide ribosomal RNA is filed under the name uncultured bacterium. Its description in RNAcentral is "partial 16S ribosomal RNA". It matches the Rfam family "Bacterial small subunit ribosomal RNA", at positions 29 to 523 of the family's 1533-position model. The record is from RNAcentral.
AGUGAACGCUGGCGGUAGGCCUAACACUUGCAAGUCGAACGGCAGCACAGAGGAGCUUGCUCCUCGGGUGGCGAGUGGCGGACGGGUGAGGAAUACAUCGGAAUCUACUCUGUCGUGGGGGAUAACGUAGGGAAACUUACGCUAAUACCGCAUACGACCUACGGGUGAAAGCAGGGGACCUUCGGGCCUUGCGCGAUUGAAUGAGCCGAUGUCGGAUUAGCUAGUUGGCGGGGUAAAGGCCCACCAAGGCGACGAUCCGUAGCCGGUCUGAGAGGAUGAUCAGCCACACUGGAACUGAGACACGGUCCAGACUCCUACGGGAGGCAACAGUGGGGAAUAUUGGACAAUGGGCGCAAGCCUGAUCCAGCCGUACCGCGUGGGUGAAGAAGGCCUUCGGGUUGUAAAGCCCUUUUGUUGGGAAAGAAAUCCAGCUGGCUAAUACCCGGUUGGGAUGACGGUACCCAAAGAAUAAGCACCGGCUAACUUCGUGCCAGCAGCCGCCGUAA